CUCUCGGCUGGCUCUAGAGAUUGAUCGUGGCUCGCUUCUUCUUUCCCCGGUAGCUUGCUCCACCGGAAAAAGAGGAGUGGCGAACGGGUGAGUAACACGUGGGUAACCUGCCCAUCAGAAGGGGAUAACACUUGGAAACAGGUGCUAAUACCGUAUAACAAUCAAAACCGCAUGGUUUUGAUUUGAAAGGCGCUUUCGGGUGUCGCUGAUGGAUGGACCCGCGGUGCAUUAGCUAGUUGGUGAGGUAACGGCUCACCAAGGCCACGAUGCAUAGCCGACCUGAGAGGGUGAUCGGCCACAUUGGGACUGAGACACGGCCCAAACUCCUACGGGAGGCAGCAGUAGGGAAUCUUCGGCAAUGGACGAAAGUCUGACCGAGCAACGCCGCGUGAGUGAAGAAGGUUUUCGGAUCGUAAAACUCUGUUGUUAGAGAAGAACAAGGAUGAGAGUAACUGUUCAUCCCUUGACGGUAUCUAACCAGAAAGCCACGGCUAACUACGUGCCAGCAGCCGCGGUAAUACGUAGGUGGCAAGCGUUGUCCGGAUUUAUUGGGCGUAAAGCGAGCGCAGGCGGUUUCUUAAGUCUGAUGUGAAAGCCCCCGGCUCAACCGGGGAGGGUCAUUGGAAACUGGGAGACUUGAGUGCAGAAGAGGAGAGUGGAAUUCCAUGUGUAGCGGUGAAAUGCGUAGAUAUAUGGAGGAACACCAGUGGCGAAGGCGGCUCUCUGGUCUGUAACUGACGCUGAGGCUCGAAAGCGUGGGGAGCAAACAGGAUUAGAUACCCUGGUAGUCCACGCCGUAAACGAUGAGUGCUAAGUGUUGGAGGGUUUCCGCCCUUCAGUGCUGCAGCUAACGCAUUAAGCACUCCGCCUGGGGAGUACGACCGCAAGGUUGAAACUCAAAGGAAUUGACGGGGGCCCGCACAAGCGGUGGAGCAUGUGUUUAAUUCGAAGCAACGCGAAGACCUUACCAGGUCUUGACAUCCUUUGACCACUCUAGAGAUAGAGCUUCCUCUUCGGGGGCAAAGUGACAGGUGGUGCAUGGAUGUCGUCAGCUCGUGUCGUGAGAAUGUUGGGUAAGUCCCGCACGGGGGGCAACCCUUAUUGUUAGUGCAUCAAUCAGUGGGCACCUCUAGCAAGACUGCCGGUGACUAACGAGAGGUGGGGAUAGACGGUCAAAUCAUCAUGCCCUUAUAGAACUGGCUCAACCACGUCUAAUGAAGUCACGGAGUUCGAGUCCGGAGGCUACGCUAUCUCCUUAAGAGCUUCUCUUUCGA
RNAcentral lists this ribosomal RNA (1274 nucleotides) under Enterococcus faecium. RNAcentral's name for it is "bacterial SSU rRNA". It matches the Rfam family "Bacterial small subunit ribosomal RNA", at positions 36 to 1295 of the family's 1533-position model. The record is from RNAcentral. Lineage: Bacteria; Bacillati; Bacillota; Bacilli; Lactobacillales; Enterococcaceae.